This 851-nucleotide long non-coding RNA is filed under the name Homo sapiens (human). RNAcentral's name for it is "non-protein coding lnc-OR4E1-4:2". The record is from RNAcentral. Lineage: Eukaryota; Metazoa; Chordata; Mammalia; Primates; Hominidae.
UGAGCUGCUUCAUGGCACUUUUUACCUCCUCAUUCCUCAAGGUGUAAAUGAAGGGAUUCAGCAAAGGGGUGACCACUGUGUAGAAGACAGACACCACCUUGUCAAUGGAGAAGCUGGUGUCUGGCCGAGUAUAGAUGAAGAUACAUGGCCCAAAGAAGAGGGCAACCACCAUGAAGUGGGCCGAGCAGGUAGACAGGGCUUUCCGGCGCCCUUCAGCUGAGUGUUUUCGAAGAGAAACCAGGAUGACCAUAUAGGAGGUGACCACGGCCAAGAAACAGGAGAGGGAGAUGGUUCCACUAUUGGUCACAAUCAGUAUUCCUGUGAGGUAUGUAUCUGUGCAGGCCAGCUUGAUAACAAGAGGCACAUCACAGAAGUAGCUGUCAAUAAUGUUGGGGCCACAGUAAGGUAGACGAAUAGUCAAGAAGGUCUGCCCUAGUGAGUGAACAGUACCCCCCAACCAGAGAGCAAAGACAAGCUGUAUACAGACUCUCAUGUUCAUCACAUUGGGGUAGUGGAGUGGAGUGCAGAUAGCCACGUAACGAUCAUACGCCAUAAUGAUCAGCAGAAAGAUCUCGGCACAGGCAAAGAGAUGUAGGAAGAAGAGCUGUGUGAUGCAGUUGUCAAAGGAAAUGGUCUUUCUUUCUAAAAGCAAACCCUCCAACAUCUUAGGCACAGUGACAGAUGAGUGGCAGAUGUCAAUAAAGGACAGAUUGCUCAGGAAGAAAUACAUGGGGGUAUGGAGACUUGGAGUAAAGACUGUGGCAAUGAUGAUGAGAAUGUUCCCCGAAAGCGUUAGCAUAUAAAUGGCUGAGAAUGCCAUGAAAAACAGCAUUUCCAGCACCCGGUUAUCA